RNAcentral lists this ribosomal RNA (408 nucleotides) under uncultured bacterium. RNAcentral's name for it is "partial 16S ribosomal RNA". It matches the Rfam family "Bacterial small subunit ribosomal RNA", at positions 28 to 526 of the family's 1533-position model. The record is from RNAcentral.
GACGAACGCUGGCGGCGUGCUUAACACAUGCAAGUCGAACGAAGUGGCGAACGGGUGAGUAAUACGUGGGUAACCUGCCCUCCUUUUUGGGAUAAGACUUGGCAACGGGGUCUAUUACCGAAUAAAGGGGGAUGGGCUCGCGGCCUAUCAGCUUGUUGGUGGGGUGAUGGCCUACCAAGGCGGUGACGGGUAGCCGGCCUGAGAGGGUGACCGUCCACAUGGGGACUGGGACACGUCCCAGACUCCUACGGGAGGCAGCAGUGGGGGGUAAUGCACAAUGGUCGAAAGCCGGAUGCCGCGACGCCGCGUGGGGGUUGAAGGCUUUCGGGUUGUAAACCUCAUUCGCUAUCGAAGAGGUAAUUGGAGAAGAAGCGCCGGCUAACUACGUGCCAGGCGCCGCGGGAAUAC